Long non-coding RNA from Eutrema salsugineum, 1498 nucleotides. RefSeq lists it as uncharacterized. The transcript has 6 exons. The record is from RefSeq and is a predicted model, not a curated record. Lineage: Eukaryota; Viridiplantae; Streptophyta; Magnoliopsida; Brassicales; Brassicaceae.
GAUCGGAUUGGGGAGGUGUUGUUGAAGACGACUCAACUACCAGAAUUGAUGAUCAACGAUGAUUCCAAGCAUCUCAAACCCUAGCCGCAGUGAUUAAGAUCGAUCUGACGAGGCAAAAUAGAAGAACGACAAGGAGUAUCAGGGAGCCUGCGAACCUUGGAACCAUUUUUGGAGUAGCCCAGAAGCAAAGGCCGGUCUAGAAAUUCGAAGGCUCGAUGCUCUGUUUCUGAUGAGGCUGUCGAUGAGAGAGAGUAGAGUGUCGCCUGAUUUGAAAGUGUUUCGGUGGAGCCGGUGAUUACGCUCAGUCCAGAUACAAUAGAUUGUUGCUUGCCAGCCCAGAAGUUGCAGUGAUUUAGUUGUCUUAUUACCUUGAAGUGAUUGCAGCGAUUCCAGAAUAUCAUCCCAACGACGGAGGAGAGCACACAGAAGACACGAAGGGCUAGUUUGGAGGCCCCAACUUAGAAUCCGAUCUCUGGUUGGACAUCGAUUAAGGGUGAAUAGCCAUGUCAAGAACAUAUGCUUAGGGAUUCCACCCGAGAACCAUACAUGCUGCGACCAAGAGAGGUUGAUAGAAGUUAAAAAGAUUUGAAAAUGGAGCUGGUGAUCUGAUCGUGCAUGUGGAAUUCUCCAGGCGUUGUCUCUCCAUAAAGAGUGCAGGGAAGAGCUAGAGCAGAUACCUAGUCGUUGUGGACCCAAGUGACCCAAAUAGAGCUUGAGAUUUCCAAAUGGAGACCAGUUGUCUGACCAGAAGAGGCAACUUUUGCCAUUUUCCACUUUGAGCUUGAUCAGCGGGUUGUCAGAAAGAACUUCUUUUUUGUAGCAGGCUACCCAAACAGAUCCAGCUUUAAAGAAAAGGAGCCAGAUCAGCUUGAAUAUACAUGCUUUAUUCCAACUCAACAGAUCUCUUAACCCAAGACCCCCUUCUUCCUUCGACAAGGGAGGACAAAGGAGCUGCACCAGAAGUUUGUGAUCCCUGCGAUGACACUAUUAAGGAGUUGUAGGCGACCUGCAAAUGACAGAGAUCUAGCAGACCAAGUAGACAUUCUGCUCUUGAUCUUAUGAAGAAGCGGUUCACAAUUUAGGAAGGAUUUCAGGAGAUGUGAGACCAGAAGAAAAGAACGAAGUCUUUGAGAUGCUAAGACCCAGGCCAGAGACCGCUUCAAACUCCCUUAAAAUUUGAAGAAUGUUUUGAACGGAUGAAGCCGAACCUUCAGAGAAGAUAAGUAAAUCAUCUGCAAAACAUAGAUGAGUGAGUUUUGUGUCUUUGCAUUUGGCAUGAUAUGAAAAUUUUCCUUCCUCAGCCACUUUGUUUAGGAGAAGAGAUAAGCAGUUCAUUGCAAUGACAAAAAGAUAGGGAGAUAAAGGGUCGCCCUGUCGGAGUCCUCUCUUUCCUUUGAAAAACUCAUUCACUGUUCCAUUGAAACCAACUGUGAAAGCGGGAGUGCAAAUACAUGCUUCCAGCCAGCGAAGGUAGUCUCCAGGGAUCUCUAAUCCACUC